UUGACCUACGGGGGGCAGCAGUCGGGAAUAUUGCGCAAUGGAGGAAACUCUGACGCAGUGACGCCGCGUAUAGGAAGAAGGUUUUCGGAUUGUAAACUAUUGUCGUUAGGGAAGAUAAAAGACUGUACCUAAGGAGGAAGCCCCGGCUAACUAUGUGCCAGCAGCCGCGGUAAUACGUAGGGGGCAAGCGUUAUCCGGAUUUACUGGGUGUAAAGGGAGCGUAGACGGCAGAGCAAGUCUGAAGUGAAAGCCCGCGGCCCAACUGCGGGACUGCUUUGGAAACUGCCCGGCUAGAGUGCUGGAGG
RNAcentral lists this ribosomal RNA (305 nucleotides) under uncultured bacterium. RNAcentral's name for it is "bacterial SSU rRNA". It matches the Rfam family "Bacterial small subunit ribosomal RNA", at positions 332 to 655 of the family's 1533-position model. The record is from RNAcentral.